AUACAGAGAGCUGUGAAAGCCUGUCUGCAGAUGAAGAGGUCCCAAUGAAGAGCAGUGGUUCUCAGUCCUGGUCCUGGAGACUGGACCUGUUUUUGCCUUAGCUCUGAUUCAAAUGAUCAAGUCAUCAAGCUUCAAGUGAUACCUUGUAACUGGAGAUUCCUUCAAAAUGAUUGUCUACAGUUACCGUGUAGGGCACUGCAAGGUUGGGUGAUCAGGGCCAUCUGGGACUGCCUCCUGGAGGAAUUCAGGCGUUUGAAGGCUACCUGUGUCGUGCAUAACUUCAUGAGGAUGGACACGAGGACCAGGAGGGGGAUCUGCAGCUCGCCACCGUGUGCCAGAGGAGAGGUCUGCUGCUCUACAGUAUGUUUCAAUGAUUGGGGCCAACAACGCAGCAUGGGAGGAAAUCCGUGUGCGGGAUAUCUUCACCUCCUACUUCUUCAGAGGGUGCUGUUCCCUGGCAAAACCAUAGACUACAAUGCACAACCAAAGGCUAUUUUAAGAGCCAUCCACAUUGCAAUAAGAGUAUUCUUCCAUUUACUUAGCUAUGUCAACUGCAGUUUUUAAAUUCCCAGUUUCUCUCCUUUUGAUUUCUACUUCUCAGGUGAGGGUGCUGUUCAGGUAAGGGUGAUGUCUGUACAAAACAGGCUCUUUUAAGAGUCCCCCAAAUUUUGAACAAUUAGACACCCUAUAAUAUAAUAUAGACACCCUAUAAUAUAAGACGUGUGUAUCAAUCUGAUUGAUGGAUUGUGUUGGGCAGUAAGCAGGCUCAGGUGUGGCUCCUUCCACCUUCAAAUAGGCAAGAGGACCAGCCACGGAGAAUAGUAAGAUACAUCAUUAGUUCUAUAACUACGCUAUAUUGUUUGUCCUUGUGUGUCUGUGCAUGUUUUUCAAUAAAGUACCCUGCAGCCACUUAGUGUGGAUACCAGGUGAGACCACACA
This is a long non-coding RNA of Oncorhynchus kisutch (coho salmon), 939 nucleotides long. RefSeq lists it as uncharacterized. The record is from RefSeq and is a predicted model, not a curated record. Lineage: Eukaryota; Metazoa; Chordata; Actinopteri; Salmoniformes; Salmonidae. The transcript has 2 exons.